CCUACGGGAGGCAGCAGUGAGGAAUAUUGGUCAAUGGGCGAGAGCCUGAACCAGCCAAGUCGCGUGAGGGAGUACUGCCCUAUGGGUUGUAAACCUCUUUUGUCGGGGAGCAAAAGCCGGACGUGUCCGGCUGUGAGAGUACCCGAAGAAAAAGCAUCGGCUAACUACGUGCCAGCAGCCGCGGUAAUACGUAGGUGGCGAGCGUUAUCCGGAAUGAUUGGGGGAAAGGGGUGCGUGGGCGGCCUGCUAAGUCUGGAGUGAAGGGUACGGGUUAAACCGGUAUAGGCUCUGGAAACUGGCGGGCUAGAGAGCAGGAGAGGGCGGUGGAACUCCAGGUGUAGCGGUAAAAUGCGUAGAUAUAUGGAAGAACACCAGUGGCGAAGGCGGCCGACUGGCCUGUUACUGACGCUGAGGCACGAAAGCGUGGGGAGCAAAUAGGAUUAGAUACCCUUGUAGUC
RNAcentral lists this ribosomal RNA (458 nucleotides) under uncultured bacterium. RNAcentral's name for it is "partial 16S ribosomal RNA". It matches the Rfam family "Bacterial small subunit ribosomal RNA", at positions 338 to 795 of the family's 1533-position model. The record is from RNAcentral.